GAAUAAUUAAUUACUAAUUUUGUAGCAAAUUAAUUAUUGUAAUUAAGAUGUCAAUUCAAUGAAUUAAAAGAUUUAUUUCUUUAUUAGAAUAAUUGAUUGAGAUCUAAUAAGUCAAUUCAAUGAAUUAUAAGAUUUAUUCCUUUAUUAAAAUAAUUGAUUGAGAUCUAAUAAGUCAAUUCAAUAGAUUAAUUAUUAUGUAUCAACCAAUUUCCGAAUUUUCCGUUUGAAUGGGAUCUGGAAAUUACUCCUUGAGGAGUCCAAAUGGAGGUAUAAUAAACCUCUUGGAGGUCAACCAAAUUAU
RNAcentral lists this long non-coding RNA (301 nucleotides) under Phoenix dactylifera (date palm). RNAcentral's name for it is "long non-coding RNA (PDAC_LNC010171)". Lineage: Eukaryota; Viridiplantae; Streptophyta; Magnoliopsida; Arecales; Arecaceae. The record is from RNAcentral.